This 442-nucleotide ribosomal RNA is filed under the name uncultured bacterium. RNAcentral describes it as "partial 16S ribosomal RNA". It matches the Rfam family "Bacterial small subunit ribosomal RNA", at positions 338 to 795 of the family's 1533-position model. The record is from RNAcentral.
CCUACGGGAGGCAGCAGUGGGGAAUAUUGGGCAAUGGGCGCAAGCCUGACCCAGCAACGCCGCGUGAAGGAAGAAGGCUUUCGGGUUGUAAACUUCUUUUAAGGGGGAAGAGCAGAAGACGGUACCCCUUGAAUAAGCCACGGCUAACUAAGUGCCAGCAUACGUGGUAAUACGUAGGUGGCGAGCGUUGUCCGGAUUUACUGGUGGUAAAGGGCGUGCAGCCGGAGAGACAAGUCAGAUGUGAAAUCCACGGGCUCAACCCGUGAACUGCAUUUGAAACUGUUUCCCUUGAGUGUCGGAGGGGUAAUCGGAAUGCCUAGGGUAGCGGUGAAAUGCGUAGAUAUAAGGAAGAACACCAGUGGCGAAGGCGGAUUACUGGACGAUAACUGACGGUGAGGCGCGAAAGCGUGGGGAGCAAACAGGAUUAGAUACCCCUGUAGUC